Molecule: ribosomal RNA, 292 nt
Filed under: uncultured bacterium
Lineage: Bacteria
Description: partial 16S ribosomal RNA
Rfam family: Bacterial small subunit ribosomal RNA
Source: RNAcentral
GUGUCAGCAGCCGCGGUAAUACAGAGGGUGCGAGCGUUGUCCGGAAUCACUGGGCGUAAAGGGCGCGUAGGUGGCCUGGUAAGUAGGGGGUGAAAUCUCGUGGCUCAACUGCGAGGCUGCCUCCUAAACUGUCAGGCUUGAGCAGAGUAGAGGCAGGUGGAAUUCCCGGUGUAGCGGUGGAAUGCGUAGAGAUCGGGAAGAACAUCGGUGGCGAAGGCGGCCUGCUGGGCUCUUGCUGACACUGAGGCGCGACAGCGUGGGGAGCAAACAGGAUUAGAAACCCCGGUAGUCC